CACAAGACUUUGAUCAGCUGUCAUGGAAGAACAAGAAAAGAAAACAGAGUAAAGUAACGAUUAAUAAUGAUUGCUGGUUUGCUGAAGAGAAUAAUAAUUCUCUUUGUAUUCUCUUAGAUAUUAGCAGUGAGCACCUGUCCAGUGAGGGCAAGUAGCUUCAUCACUUUCAGUCCCACCCACAUAAGACUUUGGAUUCCCAGAAGGAGGCGUCACUUUUGGCCCGAGCAAGCUGCAGGAUGGAGCUUCUUAAAAGCCAGACUGUCUUAAAAACAUCUCUGAAGCUUCCAUUAUGGAAUACAUGAAAAGCUACACUCUUUACAUUAUUUUUCAGCUUAUUUUUUUUCUCUCGUCCUUGAACAAAUAAAAGUAAUUACUGGAUUGUUGUUCCAAAAAUGA
Polypterus senegalus (gray bichir) is the source of this 396-nucleotide long non-coding RNA. RefSeq lists it as uncharacterized. The record is from RefSeq and is a predicted model, not a curated record. The transcript is spliced from 2 exons. NCBI's taxonomy places the organism in Eukaryota, Metazoa, Chordata, Cladistia, Polypteriformes, Polypteridae.